This is an RNA transcript of Mirounga angustirostris (Northern elephant seal), 7676 nucleotides long. It is a transcript of the gene named E3 ubiquitin-protein ligase TRIM34, with no coding region annotated. The record is from RefSeq and is a predicted model, not a curated record. The transcript is spliced from 12 exons. Lineage: Eukaryota; Metazoa; Chordata; Mammalia; Carnivora; Phocidae.
CAUUUCUCUUCCAGUGGCCCUAUAGGACCGCUGCCCAUUGGGCCCAGAAGCUCCUUCCCCUUUCAUCUUCCUGCCAGCCCUGAAGAUUUCACUUUCACUUCCCAGCCAUCUGCUCAGGAGGAGUGGCUUCUGGCCGACCCAGCGCCUGUUUGGUGAGGAAAUGCUGACCUAGCCUGCCCUGGCUUUUCUUCACCACUUAAAUCAGGAGCCAAGACUUCUCUGCUGGGGCCUCAAGUUCCUUGUCCAUAAUGAGUCCGGGUUCUGAGGAUCAGCAGCAUCUCCGUGCUGCCACCCUGUGAUAUGCCUUCUGACUGACCACCAGGAAUAAUUUUAGCCAUCCAGGAACAUUUAAGCAAGAAGAGCUCCAGGAGUUAGGACAGGAAGAAGCCAGGGGAGAUGUACUAAGGCUUUAAAAAUCCUGAACAUACAAGAUGAGGUGUCCUGUUCCAUCUGCCUGAAGCUUUUGACAGAAUCCCUGACUCUAGACUGUGGCCACAGCUUCUGUCAAGCCUGCAUCACUGUGGACACCAAGGAGUCAGAGAUCAGCCCAGGAGAGGAAAGCAGCUGUCCUGUGUGUGGUAUCAGAUACUCACUUGGAAACCUAGGUCCUGAUCAGCAUCUGGUCAACAUAAUGGAGAGAAUCAGAGAGUUCAAGUUGAACCCAGAGAAGGAGCUGAAGAGAAACCUCUGUGUGCACCAUGAAGAGAAACUCCUGCUCUUCUGUAAGGAGGAUAGGAAGGUCAUUUGUUGGCUUUGUGAGCGGUCUCAGGAGCACCGUGGUCACCACACAUACCUCGUGGAGGAAGUAGUCAAGGAAUGUCAGGAGAAGCUUCAGGCAGCUCUGGAGAGGCUAAGGAAGGAGCAGCAGAAAGCUGAGAAGUUGGAAGCUGACAUCAGAGAAGAGAGGACUUCCUGGAAGUACCAGAUACAGACUGAGAGACAAAGGAUAUGGACGGAAUUCAAUCAGCUUAGAAGCAUCCUGGACAGUGAAGAGCAGAGAGAACUGCAAAAAUUGGAAGAAGAGGAGAAGAGGAUACUGGAUAGCUUGGCUGAGGCUGAGGCUGAGCUGGCUCAGCAGAACCAGUUGGUGAAAGAACUCAUCUCAGAUCUGGAGCAUCGCCGUACAUGGUCAACAGUGGACCUGCUGCAGGACAUGAGUGGAAUCAUGAAAUGGAGUGAGAUCUGGACACUGAAGAAGCCAAAAACUGUUUCCAAAAGACUGAAGAGUGUAUUCCACGCUCCAGAUCUGAGCACAAUGCUGCGCAUGUGUAGAGAGCUAACACAUGUCCAGUGCUACUGGGUGGACAUCACACUGAAUCCAAUCAACUUAAAUUUAAACCUUGUCCUUUCAGAAGAUCAGAGACAAGUGAUGUCUGUGCCAAUUUGGCCUGUUAAGUAUACUAAUUAUGGUAUCUUGGGCUCCCAAUAUUUCUCUUCAGGGAAACACUACUGGGAAAUAGAUGUGUCCAAGAAGACUGCCUGGAUUCUGGGGGUAUACUGUAGAAAACGUUUCUGUAAUAUAAAGUUUGGUGUUAGACAAGGCACAGUUCAUCAGAAUGUUUACUCCAGAUACAGACCUCAAUGUGGCUACUGGGUUAUUGGGUUACAGAAUAAAUUUGAGUAUAAGGCCUUUGAGGAGUCUUCUACAUCUCAUCCCAUGGUCUUGACUAUUUCCAUGGCUGUUCCUCCCCAUCGUGUUGGGGUUUUCCUAGACUAUGAUGCAGGCAUUGUCUCAUUUUUCAAUGUCACAAACCAUGGGUCACUCAUCUACAAAUUUUCUAACUGUUGCUUUUCUCAGAUUGCUUAUCCAUACUUCAAUCCUUGGAACUGUCCAGGCCCCAUCAUCCUGUGUCCACCAUGUUCCUGAACCUUCUUAGCCCCUACCCACUUCUGUGUAAAGCCUCUUGUCCUGGGGCUCAUCUACACCUGAGCUUACCUGCACCCUUCCGAACGCCUCGUCCUUCCUUUCUCCUUUUAUUAUAGAAUGUUUUUGUGCAAUGCUUUUCUGCAUGUAUUGAAAUGAACAUGCAACUUUUACCCUUUUGUUUCUUAUUUAAUUCAACUACCUUUAUAGUUUUGUUAUUAUUGUAUUUUAGUAGUUAUUCUGUGGUUUAUGCCUAUGUUGUUAGUACCUUGAUUUUUUUUCACAGAUUAUUGAGGUUCUGUUCAUCAUUUUCAUAUUGGAUAAUUUACAUUAAUCUACUUUUAAGUUCACUUAGUCUUUCGUAAUCCUGAAUUUCUCUUAAGCCAGUCCUAGAUCAUUUUUUUGAGUGAUUGCAGCUCUUAGUUUUAGUAUUUCAAUUAACAAAACUAUUUUUGUUUUUUGACAUUUCCUAUUUGCUCAUUAUUAUAAGCAUAUUUUCUUUCAUAGCCUUUACCCUAGAUGUGAGAGCUGCUGCAAAGUCCUUGUCUUCCUUGUUGUGAGUCCUUAUUGUAAAUAUGACUUCUGCAUUAUCUUGGAAUUGAUCUCCAUUGAUUGCCUUUGUUCUUGAGUAUGGACCAUGUUCGUUUCUUUGUAUGUUGAACAAUUUUAACAUGUAUCUAAAAUUCCCCAGGGGGAAUUGUGAAUGAGAUGUAAAGAUUCUGGAUUCUGUUUAUUUUUCUGAAGAAUAUUUUUUUUCAGGCAUUUGGUUAAACUCAAAUUUGAAAUUGUCCCCUGAAUUUUGCAGAAGCUGAAAUCUCUGGUCAGUUCUUUUAGCUCUAUUUGGGCUGCUUGGUAUCUGCCUCAAACAUGUGUAUUUCAGAGAGUUGCUCAGUGUGUAUGUACAAUUUGAGAUUUCCUCCUCUGGAUCUCUCUUUUACAGACAUUCUCCUACCAUUUUUCAGCUGUUGUGAUAGCUCCAAAUCAUUCUUCUUGCUCUUCAAGCUAGUAAGUCUGUAUGCCGCUGAGUUUUAACUAUCCCACUCACUACCAGUUGAGUUUUGCUUUCAAAUAAAAAGCCAUAAAACCAGAAAACUCCUCCAAUAGUAUUACCUUCUUCCAAUUGUCUAUUACACUCUAGGUUCUAAGUGUUUUGUCAGUCUCUAGUGCCUUCAUCUUUUUGUUUGUUUUGCUUUGUUUUUAUAAUUGUUCAAGGUUUAUAGUGUUGAUAUAUAGGUUAUGGAUGCUGCUUUGUUAGAAUAUAUACCUCCGUUUAUAGAAACAGAACUUUAGUUUUUCUUGCUCUGGAUAGUCUAAGCUAUAAGUUCAAUCGCUGAAUUUUAGUGGUUUGUUUUUCCUUUUUUGUUAUACAAACCACCAGAUUUUAUUCAAAGUGAUUAUGCCAUUUUGCAUUCCCACAAAUUCAGAAAGGGAACAAUGAUGGUAUAGGGUUGGGUGGUCAAUGCCAAGAUAUUAAGAAUAGGUGUAUUUUUCGGUAUAUUUGGUUGAAACUGAAGAGGAUUGGAGAGCUGAGUCUGACUGCGUGAUGAGCACAGCAUAGUGGUAUUGACUGCAGUGUUCAGAAGGAAAGAGCUUCCUUAGCCAAAGACCUCUUCUCUGUCUGGUACUUCUUCCUUUCCCAAUCCCAUCUACUGGAUAUUAGAUCCAUUGUUUUACUCCUCUUCCUCUGAAUUGCUUAAUUGACCCCACAUCCUUGGUUAGUAUCUCGGGACUCUCUUAUGAGAGCUGGGAGAAAUCAGUGAGAAAAUCAGGUCUCGUCAAGAUACCUGAAAACUUGAGCAAGCAGAAUACUUGGAUUUACACUUCUCUCACCAUACACAUUUUUUUCACCAGAGCUGAAUAUGUUGGUAUGUUCCAUAUUCCAGCUCAGUAUAUUCUGAGUUACAGGGAAAAAUAAAUCUUUCUUAGGGCUCUGUAUUUUCCCUCCAGUCAUUACAUCUCCUACUUGGAGAGGAAUAUAAUGAAAUAUCCCCCCCCUUUGACCCAUGGAUUUUUAACACUUUCCCAUUUGAGAAAACCUUAGGGUAAAGCAAGAGUUAACGCAGUUGAAGUGUGUUGGUGGAGACAGAUUAAACACCAAUCCAAGUAAACCUUAGGAAGAAAACAGGAGAUAAAAAGGUUGAUUAGUAUUUGUCAAAAAGUGGAAACAACCCAAGAGUCCAUCAAUGGAAUAAUAGAGUGGAAUACUACUCAGACAUUAAAAGAGUGAAAAUCUUGCCAUUCAACAACACAGAUGAACCUUGAGGGUAUUAUGCUAAGUGAAAUAAGUCAGAGAAAGACAAAUAACAUAAUGAUUUCAUCAUAUGUGUAAUCUGAAAAACAAAACAAGCAAACAACACAAAACUCAUUGAUACAGAGAUCAGAUUGGUGGUUGCUAAAGGCCAGGGUCUGGGAGUGGGCAAAAUGGGUGAAGGGGAUCAAGAAGUAAGGCCUUCCAGUUAUAAAAUAAGUCAUGGGGGUAUAAUGUAUAGCAUGGUGACUAUAGCAAAUAGUAUUGUGCUGCAAAUUUGAAAUUCCUACAAAAGUAAAUCUUGAAUGUUCUCAUCACAGGAAAAACAUUUUUUUCAUGACUUCCUAUGGUGAUAGAUAGUAACUUGAUUUACGGUGGUGAAUGUUUCACAAUGUAUACAAAUGUUGUACACCUAAACAAAUAUAAUGUAUGUUAAUUGCACUUCAAUAAAAAAUUAUCAAAGGGGAAUCAUAUGUAUGUUAUUGAUACCAGAAGAAUAACUGAAUUUUUUUUAAAGAUUUUAUUUAUUUACUUUACAGGGAAAGAAAGAGAGCAAGCACAGGCAGGGGGAGUGGGAGAGGGAAAAGCAGGCUCCCCGCUGAGCAGGGAGCCCGAUGCGGGACUCGAUCCCAGGACCCUGGGAUCAUGACCUGAGCCAAAGGCAGAUGCUUAACCAACUGAGCCACCCAGGGAUCCCAAGAAUAACUGAAUUAUACGAUGUGACAGCAACUGUGUUCACAGCAAGAAUGGUAAACUGGAAGUAUGAUUUAUCAUCAAGAUGUUCCAUUCAAUUAAAAAUAUUUUUAUAGUUACAUAUCUGCAUAUCUAUCUAUCAGACCUUAUAUGCAAUAACUUCUAAUAGAUUUAAGGCAAUAAGCAACAGAGUAGAGAAAGUCCCUCCCUGACUUCAUGAAACUUACAAUUGGAGGUGCAGUGUGAGGUGGGGUGAUUACCACUGAUAAGAUCAGUAAUAACACUAGGUUUCCCACUGCACUUCUCUCUCUUGCCUUCCACUCAUGCAUUUUCAUUUUCCAAUUCAAGGAAUAGUGACCGAGUCCUCACCUCUAGGAGUAACCCCUAGUUUUAGAAACGACUUCCAGAAAAAUUCUAGCAAAGAAAGCCCUAGACAAAGAGCCUAUGAAGUGUCCAUGGGCCACAGCCCAGGCUUCUGGACCAAUUCCGCACUGAAAGCAGCAGAGAAGAGCACUAGGCCUGGCUCUGCUCAGGGAUGAAAAAGAUACUUUGAGGAAGACAAUAAGGGAAAGUCAGAAAGUUCUUUGAAGCUUAACAAUUUAAUGUUUCAGUAUAAUAAUGUUGGAUUUCUGCAUGACGCUCCAUAGAAAUUCCUAGCGCCCUGUCCUCCCUAGGUUUGAGAGCCUUAAUGGGGUGAUGGUUGCUCUGCUUUGCAGUUUCUUUGGUGUUUUCUAGUCUUACAAGAUUUGCAAGUUCAAACUCCGGGAUCUACUGCAGUUCACAAACAAACAACAGAAAAACUAACCUUGCCCAUCCUUCUUCUUGGGCCAUUUCUGCCACCCAGAAACUGAGCUCACCUGGGAGACAGCUAGAAGAGCAUGUAGGAGGAAUUUCCAUAAGGGGCAUCUUGACAACUUUUAAUAGAACAAAAUGCAGGGCACCUGGGUGGCUCAGUAGGUUGAGCAUCCUACUCUUGAUUUCAGCUCAGGUCUUGAUCUCAGGGUUUAAGCAACAACAGCAACAAAAUGAGAUGCAUGCUUGUUGUUAAUAGUAUGAAGAGACAUCAGAAGAAGUGGCGUGAUAACAAGAUCCUAAGACCUAUAAGAAUAGGGGCUAACGUAGGGGAACUUCUUUGUUUAACUACCUCUUUUCCUGUGAAAGACAGCCGCACCCCAGAUUGACCCACUCAGAUGGCAGAUCCCACUCAAAGCUCUUUUUUUUAAACCAUGACUCCCUCCUAUGUGACUAGGUCUUAUGGGAUUAUGGUUGACUUCUUAAACACUAUCACCUCUACAAUAUCCUCCUUGUGCCCUUACCUCUACUGCGUCACUGUUUGGCAUGUAUCCUUAGACACCGCACAUUUCACCUGUCUCACUGUCACUGUCAUUACCACAAUUCACCUGUGCCACUUGACACAGAACUUUAGAAUUGUUGGGGUUCUCCAGAGAAACAGAACCUACACGAAGGGGUUUAUUAUAAACAACUGGCUCACAUGAUUAUGGGGGCUGAGAAGUUCCAGGAUCUGGUACCUGCAAAGUGCAGACCCAGGAAAGCUGGUGGUGUCAUUCAGUCCAAGACCAAAGGCUGCAGAGCCAGGGUGGGUGACGGUGUAAAUUCCAGUCCAAGGACAGGAGAGGACCUAUAUCCCAGCUCAAGCAGGCAAACAGGAAACAAAAGGGAUGAAUUCCUCUUUUCUCUUAGGCCCUCAACAAAUCAGAUGAUGCCCGACAACACUGGGGAGUGCAAUCUACUGAGUCCACAGACUCAAAUGCUAAUCUCAUCUAGAAACAACCACCUCCCAGACCCAGAAAUGUUUAAUGGGGGCAACUCGUGGCCAGUCAAGUUGAUAACACAAAAUUAAUCUUCACAAUGAUUUUCCUGCUUCAUUUUUAUUAUGCUAAGAUUAUAGGGAUUGUAUGUUAAAUAAUGUUAGAUAGCAUUGCCCAACAAAUGACACCAUCCACAGUUUCAUCUUCCCAGCAUCUUUAGCAGAAGUGUCAUUUUGGCCAUACUGAAUCCAAAUUCUGAAGGUCAGGCUCACUGUGCUGCCACUCCGUGAGAGCCACUGACUGUCCCACUGAGGGACUUGCAGAUUUGCAUAGCCCUUCCCGCUCACACACCUAAUAGGAUACACCCCUGCCAGAUUCACUUAGUCUAGCAAAUGGAUUCAGAACAGUAGAGACCGUGUUCCUAAGGCUGCUUCAGGGCAGCCUUCAGUGUGGGUUCCUCCUUGUGGUAAAGGAGGAAUUUUAUUCCUUCCACACGACAGCUCAUUUGUAGGGAAAAAAGGCUAGGCGCACUUGUGUGAAAUUAUAUUGCUCAGGUAAGCCUAGUGCCCCAAAGGACUGAUUACCUUGAAAGGACAGGAGAGCAGCAUCUAGGAGUGGACCGGAAAGGAAUGAGUGCAACCACUGGCUCAUCCGGCCCCCCGCACAAAGCCUUGUCACCUCUUAGGGAUCUCCCAUUGGUCUGCAGCCUCUCUCCUCCCUUCCUGCCCAAACCAGAGAUUUUAACUUUCAUUUUCACUUAGCACCUCCGGAUCUUGGUGGAGAUCGGCCCCUGGUUUGCUGAGAGAAUCCUGACCACAUUCCCUCCCUGGCCUGCCUCCACUCUUCUCCAAGGAGGCACGACUUCUCACCUGGUGUCUGAAGGAGAAGCUCCAGACAGCUCUGCAGAAGCUGAGGGAGGAGCAGCAGGAAGCGAACAUGUUGGAAGCUACCCUCAGAGAAGAGAGAACUUCCUGGAAGGAUGUGAAUCACAUCAUGGAAAGGAGUAAGCACUUGAGUCUGAAGAAACAAAACAUGUUUCUCAAGGAACAAAGGAAAGUGUCCCGAAUUCCUGAUCUGAAAGUGAUAAUAGAAGCGUUUAGAG